GUCCACGCUGUAAACGAUGUCGAUUUGGGGAUUGGGAGUUAUCCUGGUGCCCGAAGCUAACGUGAUAAAUCGACCGCCUGGGGAGUACGGCCGCAAGGUUAAAACUCAAAUGAAUUGACGGGGGCCCGCACAAGCGGUGGAGCAUGUGGUUUAAUUCGAUGCAACGCGAAGAACCUUACCUACUCUUGACAUCCAAAGAAUAAUUUAGAGAUAAAUUAGUGCCUUAGGGAACUUUGAGACAGGUGCUGCAUGGCU
Molecule: ribosomal RNA, 255 nt
Filed under: uncultured bacterium
Lineage: Bacteria
Description: partial 16S ribosomal RNA
Rfam family: Bacterial small subunit ribosomal RNA
Source: RNAcentral